AUGUCUCCUCUGUCAAUGUCGAUAAGACGAGGUAACGCCAGGCUCUUCUGCUCGCGCACUCUACCACCAUGCCGUGGCAUCGGCAGGUCGCGAGCGCGCUGGCCAUGGAGCUCCCGCGGUGUCCGUGGCCGUCGCGGCGGCCGCGCUGUACGCGCGCGCCGCGUCGUCGCUCCUCCGGCCCGGGCUCCCGCUCCUCGCCGCCGCGCCGCUGGCCUUCGCCUCCUCCGCCAUCGUCCGGGGCGUCGCCGCCUUCUUCCUCGCCUGGCUCGGCGCCUUCAAGGUCGCGCUCCUCGCCGCCGGCCGCGGCCCGCUCGACCCCGCCCUCCCCGUGCUCCCGUUCCUCUUCACCGCCUUGCUCCCCGUCAAGCUCCGCCGCGGCGGCGCCGCUGGAGCAAUGUCCGAGGCCAAGGCGGCGCCCUCGCUCGCCUCCUGCGCGGUCAAGGCCGCCGUCAUGGCCGCCCUCGUGGGCCUCUACCGGCUCAACGCCCGGCUGCACCUCUACGCGCGCCUGGCGCUGUACGGCGUCCACACCUACUGCUUCCUGGACCUGCUCCUCCCCUGCAUCGCCGCCGCCGCGCCCGCGCUCGGCAUGGAGACGGAGCCGCAGUUCGACCGGCCGUACCUGGCCUCCUUGCUGCGGGACUUCUGGGGCCGGCGGUGGAACCUCAUGGUGUCGGCCAUCCUCCGGCCGUCGGUGUACGACCCCGUGCGCGCCCGCGCGGGGGGCGCCGCGGGCGUGCUGGCCUCGUUUGCGGUGUCCGGGGCGAUGCACGAGGCCAUGGUGUGCUACCUCAGCCUGCGGUGGCCGCCCGGCGGCGGGAUGGCCGCCUUCUUCGCCCUCCACGGCGCCUGCUGCGUCGCCGAGGGGUGGUGCGCGCGGCGGUGGGCGGCGAGGAGGCCGCCGCGCGCCGUGGCGACGGUGGGUGUGGGGCUGUUCGUGGCGGGCACGUCGUUCUGGCUCUUCUUCCCGGCGCUGCUCAAGGACGGCGUCGAGGAGAGGUUCCUGGACGAGUGGGCUGCCGUGGCGGCCUUCUUCCUCGACGCCGGCUGAAAGAUGAAUUCCAUUGUUGUACAGUCGACGGAGUAGCUAGCAAUAGUAAUUGCUUCCAUGAAAGCAGUCAAAUCAUGGAUCACCAAGUGAACUACUCUGAUGGUUCAGUGAAAACGAAACGAAAAGCGCCUGGAGUAUCUCCAACAGAAGCGUUAUAUAAACGACGCGCGGUAUAA
This 1227-nucleotide ribosomal RNA is filed under the name Triticum aestivum (bread wheat). RNAcentral's name for it is "partial small subunit ribosomal RNA". Lineage: Eukaryota; Viridiplantae; Streptophyta; Magnoliopsida; Poales; Poaceae. The record is from RNAcentral.